CAGCAGUCGCCGCGGUAAUACGAAGGGUGCAAGCGUUACUCGGAAUUACUGGGCGUAAAGCGUGCGUAGGUGGUGGUUUAAGUCCGUUGUGAAAGCCCUGGGCUCAACCUGGGAAUUGCAGUGGAUACUGGGUCACUAGAGUGUGGUAGAGGAUAGUGGAAUUUCCGGUGUAGCAGUGAAAUGCGUAGAGAUCGGAAGGAACAUCUGUGGCGAAGGCGACUAUCUGGGCCAACACUGACACUGAGGCACGAAAGCGUGGGGAGCAAACAGGAUUAGAUACCCGCGUAGUCCCUGUCUCUUAUAC
RNAcentral lists this ribosomal RNA (304 nucleotides) under uncultured bacterium. RNAcentral's name for it is "partial 16S ribosomal RNA". It matches the Rfam family "Bacterial small subunit ribosomal RNA", at positions 509 to 807 of the family's 1533-position model. The record is from RNAcentral.